Molecule: small nuclear RNA, 101 nt
Filed under: Microtus ochrogaster (prairie vole)
Lineage: Eukaryota; Metazoa; Chordata; Mammalia; Rodentia; Cricetidae
Source: RNAcentral
UCCUUGUAUUACAAAGGGAAGUUCUAAAAGGGGGACCAUACAGAGAUUAGCAUGGCCCUUCUGUAAGGAUGGCGCAAGUUUGUAAAGCAUUCCACAAUUUA